GCUAGCUCCAAUGUUGUCUUCUUCCAGGCAGAAAACGUGAGCCGAGCGCUCACCUAAUCCAUCCCUAGCUGGACCAAGCCAACCACCUCGUCCCCUCCUGACUUCAGCAAACCCUAGCCUGCUUCCUCUCCAUCCUCGGCCGCCGUCCCUUCUUUUCCCUUACCACGCAGACGAGAGAAGACAAAAGUUUCAGAGAAAAACACCCAGCAUCGCCGUUGCCCCGUCGUCUCCGACCACCUUUCGCCGAACCAAGGCCACCAAGAGCUUCCCCUCGUCAGGCUGUUCAUCCUCGACCCCAAGAACUCCUCGAAAUCGAGCACGCAAUCAACGCCAACGACCCCGUCCUCUUCCCCGACUCCGGCGGGAAAUCGUUGUUUCUGGCCACCUCUGACCUCCCCCGGCCCAGCUGAAGUGUUCAUCAGCUUCCUGGUGAGACGGCGCACCUUUUCCGCCCUUUCCCCAUUGCAUCUGAUCUUUUUCCGUCGUUGAAUAAAUCUGACGAAACUGUCGUCUGUGUCUGUACGAGCUCAUCUCCACCAUGGCCGGCGGCAACCCUGCGUGCUGCUCGUGUUCGUCGUUCCUGAUGGAUUCCUUCCUGGCACACUCGUCCUCCGGCAACAGCCUCUCGCAAUUGCUUCUUCCCGGAUAGGAUCACGAAGUGGUGCGGUGAGAAUGCGAACACUAUCAGAGUGGAAGGAGAGGAUCUGAGUGAGUUUUCGUAGAGGAAGGAAGAGUGGAGGUUCAUGAAGAAGAAGUCCAGGAACAAACAACCAACCA
Lolium rigidum is the source of this 777-nucleotide long non-coding RNA. RefSeq lists it as uncharacterized. The record is from RefSeq and is a predicted model, not a curated record. NCBI's taxonomy places the organism in Eukaryota, Viridiplantae, Streptophyta, Magnoliopsida, Poales, Poaceae. The transcript has 3 exons.